RNAcentral lists this ribosomal RNA (400 nucleotides) under uncultured bacterium. RNAcentral's name for it is "bacterial SSU rRNA". It matches the Rfam family "Bacterial small subunit ribosomal RNA", at positions 359 to 776 of the family's 1533-position model. The record is from RNAcentral.
GAAUAUUGGACAAUGGGCGAAAGCCUGAUCCAGCAAUGCCGCGUGAGUGAUGAAGGCCUUAGGGUUGUAAAGCUCUUUUACCAGGGAUGAUAGUGACAGUACCUGGAGAAUAAGCAUCGGCUAACUCCGUGCCAGCAGCCGCGGUAAGACGGAGGAUGCAAGUGUUAUCCGGAAUCACUGGGCGUAAAGCGUCUGUAGGUGGUCCAAUAAGUCAACUGUUAAAUCUUGAGGCUCAACCUCAAAAUCGCAGUCGAAACUAUUAGACUAGAGUAUAGUAGGGGUAAAGGGAAUUUCCAGUGGAGCGGUGAAAUGCGUAGAGAUUGGAAAGAACACCGAUGGCGAAGGCACUUUACUGGGCUAUUACUGACACUCAGAGACGAAAGCUAGGGUAGCAAAUGGG